UGGCUCAGGACGAACGCUGGCGGCGUGCCUAAUACAUGCAAGUCGAACGAGAGCGACCGGUGCUUGCACUGGUCAAUCUAGUGGCGAACGGGUGAGUAACACGUGGGCAACCUGCCCAUCAGAGGGGGAUAACAUUCGGAAACGGAUGCUAAAACCGCAUAGGUUCUUGAGCUGCAUGGCUUGGGAAGGAAAAGAGGCUUCGGCUUCUGCUGAUGGAUGGACCCGCGGUGCAUUAGCUAGUUGGUGAGGUAACGGCUCACCAAGGCCGUGAUGCAUAGCCGACCUGAGAGGGUGAUCGGCCACAUUGGGACUGAGACACGGCCCAAACUCCUACGGGAGGCAGCAGUAGGGAAUCUUCCGCAAUGGACGCAAGUCUGACGGAGCAACGCCGCGUGAGUGAAGAAGGAUUUCGGUUCGUAAAACUCUGUUGUUAGAGAAGAACAGCGCAUAGAGUAACUGUUAUGCGUGUAACGGUAUCUAACCAGAAAGCCACGGCUAACUACGUGCCAGCAGCCGCGGUAAUACGUAGGUGGCAAGCGUUGUCCGGAUUUAUUGGGCGUAAAGCGAGCGCAGGCGGUCAAUUAAGUCUGAUGUGAAAGCCCCCGGCUCAACCGGGGAGGGUCAUUGGAAACUGGUUGACUUGAGUGCAGAAGAGGAGAGUGGAAUUCCAUGUGUAGCGGUGAAAUGCGUAGAUAUAUGGAGGACACCAGUGGCGAAGCGACUCUCUGGUCUGUAACUGACGCUGAGCUCGAAAGCGUGGGUAGCAAACAGGAUUAGAUACCU
RNAcentral lists this ribosomal RNA (783 nucleotides) under uncultured bacterium. Its description in RNAcentral is "bacterial SSU rRNA". It matches the Rfam family "Bacterial small subunit ribosomal RNA", at positions 20 to 787 of the family's 1533-position model. The record is from RNAcentral.